Molecule: ribosomal RNA, 253 nt
Filed under: uncultured bacterium
Lineage: Bacteria
Description: partial 16S ribosomal RNA
Rfam family: Bacterial small subunit ribosomal RNA
Source: RNAcentral
UACGGGGGGAGCAAGCGUUGUUCGGAUUUACUGGGCGUAAAGGGCGCGUAGGCGGCGUGACAAGUCACUUGUGAAAUCUCCGGGCUUAACUCGGAACGGUCAAGUGAUACUGUCGUGCUAGAGUACAGAAGGGGCAACUGGAAUUCUCGGUGUAGCGGUGAAAUUCGUAGAUAUGCGGAGGAACACCGAUGGCGAAGGCAAUCCCCUGGACCUGUACUGACGCUCAUGCACGAAAGCGUGGGGAGCAAACAGG